AUGGAGGCAUCUCCACCGCUUAAGUUGUGGAAAUCUAUCCCUAGGCUGGCUGUGAUCAACGAGCGUGAGCUGUUGAUGGCGCAGCGUCCUCAUCGUCUGUUGCAUUGUGACAUUGAUGGUGUGUUUUUAGGAAAUGUCGAAAGCGAAGAGCAUGAGAACCGCUUGACGCUUUCUUGGCAUCGCUUCCAUGAGAGCAUGGUUUCAGUCCCAUUGUUUGAGGUGCAAGAAGAAGUAGAUGCCGUGAGCAACGAGCCUCCUCCAUUCGUCAUGGUGCUACAAGAUGAUGCGAUGCUCCAUCUUAAUGGGUUGGACUAG
This 315-nucleotide ribosomal RNA is filed under the name Triticum aestivum (bread wheat). RNAcentral's name for it is "partial small subunit ribosomal RNA". Lineage: Eukaryota; Viridiplantae; Streptophyta; Magnoliopsida; Poales; Poaceae. The record is from RNAcentral.